This 253-nucleotide ribosomal RNA is filed under the name uncultured bacterium. RNAcentral describes it as "partial 16S ribosomal RNA". It matches the Rfam family "Bacterial small subunit ribosomal RNA", at positions 524 to 776 of the family's 1533-position model. The record is from RNAcentral.
UACGUAGGGUCCGAGCGUUGUCCGGAAUUAUUGGGCGUAAAGGGCUCGUAGGCGGUUUGUCGCGUCGGGAGUGAAAACCGGGUGCUUAACACCUGGCUUGCUUUCGAUACGGGCAGACUAGAGGUAUGCAGGGGAGAACGGAAUUCCUGGUGUAGCGGUGGAAUGCGUAGAGAUCGGGAAGAACAUCAGUGGCGAAGGCGGUCUGCUGGGCCGUUGCUGACGCUGAGGCGCGACAGCGUGGGGAGCAAACAGG